GGGUACAGUGCUUUCCUAUCAAUAACAUCGGGAAUCUUUGUGUCGUUGUGGACUGGCUCUUGCGAUUGGCUAUAGGAUAAUUGCAAAUAUCGGACACAAUAUAAGUUGGUAACAUGGGUAGUCGUGUGUAGAAUGUCCGGUGAUGCGCAAUUAUAUUGAAGUAGUUAGUCGAAUAGUAUUAUAUGCCAGGAAUAGAGCAUUAAAAUAAUAAAGUACCUUUAAAUGUACAUAUCAUUGAUAGGAAAGGAUAUCUUGAUUCCUAAGUUUAUGAUCGCUCAGUGAAUAAAAGUUAUUGGAGAAAAAAGAUAUAGAGAGAAAACGCUACAAGAAUCACUUACGUUGUAGAUUUGAGAGAACUGUUUUAGCAAUGCACGUAAUGAGAUGUAUAGAAAUACGUGUCGUUCGUAUAGUAACACAUAUCUUUCCAAACGAUCAGUUCGAGCAAUUGAAUUACUCGGAAUCAUGUGCAUGAGAUUUCUUCUUUAAUUAGUUUUAUUUUCAUCAUUUUUAAUUGUAUAUGUUGUGGCACUAAUGAUGCUUACUUAAAAUCUUCAACAUAGUGGUAGGAAAAGGUGUAAUCGUCACGAUGACCCAUGCCUGAUAAGUUUCACCAAAGCACGAUGAUCUCAAUGUGGAAAAAGAUACGAUCGUAAUAUUCGCUAUUGUAGAUGUCAACGGUAUGUCUCAUAAAAAGUCGCAAAGACUGUCUUUUAUAUGAUUCAUUCAUUUUGUACUAUGUAUGUAUACCAAAUACAUAGUUUUGAUUCUUAACUGAUUAUAUUGUACAUUCAAUAAAUCUCUAUAUUCACUCGUAAAA
Bombus terrestris (buff-tailed bumblebee) is the source of this 817-nucleotide long non-coding RNA. RefSeq lists it as uncharacterized. NCBI's taxonomy places the organism in Eukaryota, Metazoa, Arthropoda, Insecta, Hymenoptera, Apidae. The record is from RefSeq and is a predicted model, not a curated record. The transcript is spliced from 2 exons.